GAAGUUGACUAGACAGUCGCUGCUUCAUACUAACAAUAAUAUGAAGGAGAGGAAAGUCCGGGCUCCAUAGGGCAAGGUGCCAGGUAACGCCUGGGGGGUAGAAACAAACUUACGACAAGUGCAACAGAAAGUAAACCGCCAAUGGCCUAUUGAUUUUUAUUAUACUUGAUCAAAAAAUAAGUAUUAAUAAAUAGGAUCAGGUAAGGGUGAAAAGGUGCGGUAAAAGCGCACCGCGUAUUUGGUAACAAUUUACGGCACGGUAAACUCCACCUGGAGCAAGGCUAAAAAGAGGUUAAAUAGUGCGGCCCGUACUUAUAACCCAGGUAAGCUGCUUGAGCCAGAUCGCAAGUACUGGUCUAGAUGAAUGACUGUCCACGACAGAACCCGGCUUAACGGUCAACUUCUUCU
Molecule: RNase P RNA, 408 nt
Filed under: Candidatus Palibaumannia cicadellinicola
Lineage: Bacteria; Pseudomonadati; Pseudomonadota; Gammaproteobacteria
Description: Candidatus Baumannia cicadellinicola Bacterial RNase P class A
Rfam family: Bacterial RNase P class A
About the family: Ribonuclease P (RNase P) is a ubiquitous endoribonuclease, found in archaea, bacteria and eukarya as well as chloroplasts and mitochondria. Its best characterised activity is the generation of mature 5'-ends of tRNAs by cleaving the 5'-leader elements of precursor-tRNAs. Cellular RNase Ps are ribonucleoproteins.
Source: Rfam by way of RNAcentral